This 1144-nucleotide long non-coding RNA is filed under the name Fragaria vesca (wild strawberry). RNAcentral's name for it is "long non-coding RNA (FVES_LNC003160)". The record is from RNAcentral. Lineage: Eukaryota; Viridiplantae; Streptophyta; Magnoliopsida; Rosales; Rosaceae.
GUGGAUUUGGCAAUGGAUGCACUGAACUGAUGCACAAGAUCCAAUGCUCCAUAACUAUAACCUUCAUCUUCUUCAUCAGUUUGGCAGAGAGACUCACAGAAGAAGCAGCAGUGCUUUGAAGCUAGUCUGUCUCUGUGGCACAGAUUCGAAAGCUGCUAUCAUAGUUGUCACUGCAUUCGUGCGUUGUGUUCUGCCACUAUUGUGUUUUGAAUAUAUCUUUCCGUUUUUAGGAGACCAUGCUCACUCUAGGUAUGAGGGGAAUGUUGUUCUCUUUCUCAUCACAUUUCCUAUAAUCCUAUCUUAGGGAUAUUGUUUAGGGCAUUUGUUAGAGCAUAAGAACUAAAUUUUUCUACAAAAUAAAGAAAUUGGGGAGCUGUUGAAGUUAUUUUUAGACUUAUCAUUUAUCGAAAUCAAAUAAGUGUAAUGUAAAAGUUAAGUUGAUGAAACGUAACUUUGACUUGAUGAGAUGAAGUAUAUAUAUAGUUGCGUAGAAAAUAAAUGGUAAUUAUAUGAGUUCGAACUAAGUAAGUGUUGAAAUGAAAAAAGUCUAAAUAACAACGACAUUUGAUUUGAGGAAUGAAGAACUUUUUCUUUUCUUUUUUCAAAAAUGGUCAAGUACCUCACGUUUUUUCAGAUUAGUUGCACCAAAACUUCCAUUUCCCGGUUAAGAAACGACCAAAGAUCAAAAUGUUAAAUCAGAUGUGCAUAAUCUUAUACCUUACAUUCCAUUAUCAACAUGAACAGAGCUCAUGAGUUAUGAGUAUUGACAAAUAUAGGAUGUUAAUGAAAGAAAAAGCUAACUUUUGAAAAGAAGAAUUAAACUUCUGUAUUCCAUUACUAAGUACAGCUAAAUUAGGCAUCUAACCUCAACUAAAUUCUUUUCUGUUCACCCCUCUGGGUUCUUAUUUUUCAUCAAUUGACAUAGUAACUUUGCCAAGUUUCACCUUCCAUUUUCAUUCUCAUCCUUAUCCUCACUCUACGCCGGUCAGGGCAGGAAAGCAACUCCCGGACCUGGUAAGCCCCGGGCGGCCACCCAUCCUCAUGGGAGUACUCGGAGUCGAACUCGAGCCCCUCGGAGAGUCCAAACUGCGCCGGAGAAUCUUUGUCAUGGCAGAUAUCAAAUGAAUAGUAGGGUUCAGAGGAG